This is a long non-coding RNA of Oreochromis aureus, 2733 nucleotides long. Lineage: Eukaryota; Metazoa; Chordata; Actinopteri; Cichliformes; Cichlidae. The record is from Ensembl.
CCCCGAAUGACGUCACCACGUUGCGGAGCGUCAUUUACCUGGCAGGGCGCCUAAGCGGCUCAAACGCUCAAAAGUUUGGUUAUACUUUACGAGAACAGAUGACAACGGGGCAACUUGCAAUACUUGCAAAGUAGAUAUUUCAUUUAAAGGAGGAAACACUACGAAUAUGCAAAAGCAUUUGCUCACAAAACACGCGAUGAACUUAAAUGAAUGUCGUGUUUUUAAUUCCACUCCGGACUCAUGAAUCUCAACCCAGCAGCAGCGGUAACGUUUGCACGUCAUCUCCCGUUAAUGCGGCAGGUGACCAUGAUGAGAGAGACAGACAGAGUCUGGCUGGCAGUUCUUGCUGCAGUCUACCGGUAGCGUCUCCUUUCAGGCCAGGAUAGACAAAUGUCACCGAGCAGUGACUUAAGUUUGUGGUCAAAGGCUUGCACCCAUUUGCCACAGCAGAUGCCCCCGAUUUUCGACUGGGAUGGAGCUGUGGUUUCUUGCUUUUCCUCUGAUGGUUUUUGUUCAGCCUGCAGGGAUGAUUUCACACUUAUACAACAGUACUGCUGCACUGGUCAGUUCCCCCACAGCUGAAGGAGACACUUUCUCCAGCUCUCCUGGUCAGAGUUAAAUCACUCUGUAUCAGCUCUUCAGCCACAGUAAUCACUGGGGUAGAGACACAGACAGUACACAGCUGCAGUGCUGCACUGGUCAGUUCCCCCACAGCUGAAGGAGACACUUUCUCCAGCUCUCCUGGUCAGAGUCAAAUCAUUUUGUAUCAGCUCUGUGGCCAUGGUAAACAGCGCUGCAGAGACACACACAGAAGCUGGCGUUUCCCCCUCAGGAAGUUCAACUGGCUGCCAAUUUAUACAAGCGUAGCUAUCAACAAGGCAUCUAACUUUUUUAGUGGUUGGAGUGGUUUCCACACCUAAUCGAAUCAGUUUGGAUCACUUUGCUUCACCUGAACACCCUGACAGUAUUUACACACUGCUGUCUGACUGCAUUCAGCUGACACUGAGAUGAAGCAGAAAAGAAGCAGCUGGUGAAGGUAGAAAGUGUGUGUGAGCUGAUGUGGAUGUGAAUUCAGCAGCAUGGAUCAGUGUGAGGACAGAGAGGAGGGAGUCCCUCCCUCUAAAACCACUCUGUGUGGGGAACAUGAGAGCCAGACCAAAGCUCAGAGUUCAGAGCAGCGGUACGCACUGUAUUCUGCCAGACCUGGGCCCAGCUGCAGAUCCCUAACGACUGACUUGUACUUGGAGUUACACGUGUUUUUUACUCGAAAGCGUCUCCCUUCCAGUUGGUCCUCCUCACUGUUUUGUGGAGUGAAUCAAGCACAAGACUGUACUAAACUUGAACCUGAAUCUAAACAUGAACUGAUGCCUGAAACAACAAGCAUACCUGAACAAGAAGCCUCUGCGACUUCAAAUCUUCAGAUCCUCGGUUGUAAACAUGUCAUGGAUCAGGAUCAGGCUGGGCCCCGGCAGAUGAUCUGUCCAGUGUUGAACAGCAGUGCUGUAAAAAAGACAGACGGGCUUUUAAAGGAAUGGUUGUGGGAAACUCUGGAGACUUUGGGAACUGAGGAGCUGAAAAACUUCAAGUGGUGUCUGCAAAAUGUUACUGAGUCAAAGGAUGGCUUCAAGCCAAUCAAAAAGAGUCGACUGGAGAACGCAGACAGACUGGACACAGUGGACCUGAUGGUGCAGAUGUACGAUACAAAGACUGCAGAGGUGACGAAGAAGAUUUUAAGGAAGAUCAAAAGGAAUGAAGGACAACCCUUUCCCCAAAUUCUGCUGCAGGAUCAACCAGCUAAUGCCACAGGUAUGUGUUCAUUAUGGUACUAAGUCAUACUACACUAAGACUGAUAAUAUAAGUGUAAUAUUUAAGGGGGGAGACCAAAUAGCUGCCAGUCUGAUUUAAUCUAAACCUUUCUCAUCUUUCCACAAUUCACUAACUUUCAUCUGUGUGAAAAGGUGAGAAAGUCUGCCCAAAAAGGAAAUCUACUUCUUCUCUCUAUAACUCAGUUUGAUAUUUAACUGCAAGAAGCAUUCAACUCCAGUCAAACAGAUCUUUAGUUAAUCUGCUAUAUGAGGUGGACAAUUUCUCAGUUUCCUAGACUUCCAAAAGUAACGUAUUUUUAGGACUACACAUAUAUAUAUAUAUAUAAACACCCAGCGCGCCCCUGCGGGCGGUUUAUCCUUCAAGCUCGGGUCCUCUACCAGAGGCCUGGGAGCUUGAGGGUCCUGCGCAGUAUCUUAGCUGUUCCCAGGACUGCGCUCUUCUGGACAGAGAUCUCCGAUGUUGUUCCCGGGAUCUGCUGGAGCCACUCGCCUAGCUUGGGAGUCACCGCACCUAGUGCUCCGAUUACCACGGGGACCACCGUCACCUUCACCCUCCACAUCCUCUCGAGCUCUUCUCUGAGCCCUUGGUAUUUCUCCAGCUUCUCGUGUUCCUUCUUCCUGAUAUUGCUGUCAUUCGGAACCGCUACAUCGAUCACUACGGCCGUCUUCUUCUGUUUGUCUACCACCACUAUGUCCGGUUGGUUAGCCACCACCAUUUUGUCCGUCUGCAUCUGGAAGUCCCACAGGAUCUUAGCUCGGUCAUUCUCCACCACCCUUGGGGGCAUCUCCCAUUUUGACCUCGGGACUUCCAGGUUAUACUCGGCACAGAUGUUCCUGUACACUAUGCCGGCCACUUGGUUAUGGCGCUCCAUGUAUGCCUUGCCUGCUAGCAUUUUGCACCCUGCUG